This is a long non-coding RNA of Scaptodrosophila lebanonensis, 489 nucleotides long. RefSeq lists it as uncharacterized. Lineage: Eukaryota; Metazoa; Arthropoda; Insecta; Diptera; Drosophilidae. The record is from RefSeq and is a predicted model, not a curated record. The transcript is spliced from 4 exons.
CUUUCCAGCUGCGAGCUACAGCAGGUCCUUCGGAAACAAUUAAAUUCUAAAAUGGCUCAAACAAAAUUCAAAGUGAAAAAGUAUGACAUCGGAUGCCAGUAAUAGGUAUUGUCAGAUUUCGGAAACAUUAUUGACCUGGAAAUAUCGAAAGCAUAAUUUUGCAAUCAAACAGAUUGCAAGAAUACACGUCUUACAAAAUGUUAAACUCAAAUAACGAUACUAAACUAAACUAACAUACUCUUCACACAUAAAGCCCAAGCUUGAUUUGGAAAAGCCACACCCACGUACACUAUUUUAAACACCUGCCUUUGUUGAAGAAUUGCUGAAGCCGGUACCUUACCCUCCACGUGUGAUUCGAGAUCUAAGCGGUGAGGGUCUGUGGAUUGCGGAAUACCAGGUGCUAUUAAGAAAUAUCUACUGGCCGUUAAUAAUAUUUCUUACAGUGUUAUACAAUAUAAUAUGGUCUCAAUAAAAUACGACACUUUUAAA